GAAGUACAUCAAGAGAGGCUCAAAUUUGGGUCCGGCAACCUGGGAUGGACACCCAAGGUGCUCGCUUGCCUAGUAGGUGAGGAUGCGGUUUCGGAAGAAACAAUGAAGUGUCCGGCGG
RNAcentral lists this non-coding RNA (118 nucleotides) under unclassified sequences. RNAcentral's name for it is "SAM-I-IV sequence". It matches the Rfam family "SAM-I/IV (S-adenosyl methionine) riboswitch aptamer". From Rfam's summary of the family: It is found upstream of a number of genes which code for proteins involved in methionine or cysteine biosynthesis. It has been found mostly in the order Actinomycetales. The record is from Rfam by way of RNAcentral.